This 22-nucleotide microRNA is filed under the name Tribolium castaneum (red flour beetle). RNAcentral's name for it is "tca-miR-3858b-5p". Lineage: Eukaryota; Metazoa; Arthropoda; Insecta; Coleoptera; Tenebrionidae. The record is from miRBase by way of RNAcentral.
AGAGAAGCGAAGAUUUUUCGUU